This 468-nucleotide ribosomal RNA is filed under the name uncultured bacterium. RNAcentral describes it as "partial 16S ribosomal RNA". It matches the Rfam family "Bacterial small subunit ribosomal RNA", at positions 28 to 507 of the family's 1533-position model. The record is from RNAcentral.
GACGAACGCUGGCGGCGUGCUUAACACAUGCAAGUCGAACGGAAAGGCCCUGCUUUUGUGGGGUGCUCGAGUGGCGAACGGGUGAGUAACACGUGAGUAACCUGCCCUUGACUUUGGGAUAACUUCAGGAAACUGGGGCUAAUACCGGAUAGGAGCUCCUGCUGCAUGGUGGGGGUUGGAAAGUUUCGGCGGUUGGGGAUGGACUCGCGGCUUAUCAGCUUGUUGGUGGGGUAGUGGCUUACCAAGGCUUUGACGGGUAGCCGGCCUGAGAGGGUGACCGGCCACAUUGGAACUGAGAUACGGCCCAGACUCCUACGGGAGGCAGCAGUGGAGAAUAUUGCACAAUGGGCGGAAGCCUGAUGCAGCAACGCCGCGUGCGGGAUGACGGCCUUCGGGUUGUAAACCGCUUUCGCCUGUGACGAAGCGUGAGUGACGGUAAUGGGUAAAGAAGCACCGGCUAACUACGUG